Long non-coding RNA from Bolinopsis microptera, 193 nucleotides. RefSeq lists it as uncharacterized. Lineage: Eukaryota; Metazoa; Ctenophora; Tentaculata; Lobata; Bolinopsidae. The transcript has 2 exons. The record is from RefSeq and is a predicted model, not a curated record.
GAACAGCUGACGUCAGUACCAUUCUAGUUCACCCUAAGAGUCGGGAUAUUAUCUUGCACACCCCAUCAUAUCUCCUCGUGGACUAUCGCACAUUACUCCUAGAAGCUAUCUCUCAAGACACCAAGUUUGCCGAAAGAGUUUCACAGCCGUUGGUGUAAGGCAAAUGAAGAGCAAAUUAUACAAAUUAAAGCUA